Molecule: unclassified non-coding RNA, 2024 nt
Filed under: Hevea brasiliensis (rubber tree)
Lineage: Eukaryota; Viridiplantae; Streptophyta; Magnoliopsida; Malpighiales; Euphorbiaceae
Source: RNAcentral
GUGGUAAAUAGGUGAUUAUUAGCGCGAGGACCACGUGAAAUAGAGGGUGGUGCCUUUUUUGUUUUCUCCUUUUAAAAAUUAAAUGCUCACAAGUUCCCUACCUUCUGCGUAAGAAUCACGUUCCUUCAAGUGUACUGUGUACCUUCUUCUUCUUGACAUAUCAACAAGAUUUUCCAAAAGGGUCCAUAUAUACAAAUUGAUUAGCAACAGGACAUCACCUCAAGAUCAUAGCCAGCAAGGUUUGCGCGGAAAUCAAAGGAAGACACCAUCUCAGAUAACAUAUUAAGCAGUAGCUCCUUUCCCUUUGCACAAUUUGCCACAAUUGUGAAAAUCUCCUUGUUAGACAUCCCUCUGGCGUACAAACUCGCUCUGAAGUUAGCAGUCCAUUCUGCAACAGAUUCGAGUCUCUGGAACAUGUGAAGUACUCGAGAACCAAGCGGACUAAUCAAACAGCCAUCUAAAGGGGAGGUCAUUUCCACAGUUAAAGCAGCCAGACAGAAAUCCCAUAACUCCUGAUUCCACAGGUUGAGCAAUGUCUCUUUCCCGUUUUUGUAAAACUCUUACAAACUCAUCUGCGCUUAAAUGCCCGUCGCCAUUUGAGUCAAACACAUGGAAAACGAUAUCAAUCACAUUGUCCGUGAGGGAGAUGCCACAAACAUAGGAUGCAGCUCUUUGAAAGUCCUCCUUUGUUAACAGGCCAUUUACUUUCCCAUAACUAAAGAGGGCCAAAGAAAAUGGCCGCAACUUUCUACGCAAUUCUGCAAAAUUUUUAAACUCCUCAAAUGUUAUUCGAAUGUCCUUGAGGCGUGCCUCAUUAUUUAAUUCAUCAACCCGAUCGAGUAACUUAUCCAAGUGACUCAAGUCAGCAGAAGCAACCAUGGACAAUGCAAAAUCCUUAGCUGAUAUGGUUUUUUGUAAUUUAUAGUCAUAGUGUGCAAAUUCCAAUCUCAAAAUCUCAUGAUGCAAAUCCUUCAAAAACUGGACAAACUUAUCAUGAUGGAGGCGUCCAUUUCCAUCUUUGUCAAAGAAGUACUCCACCACACCUCCAUUUUCCACAGUGCCACUAACUUUCAACCCUGUUCGAAGUCCAUUCUUGUGGACAGCCCCUUGUCUGUUGUGAGCUCGCAUCAAGGCCAUCACUUUCUUAAACUCUUCCUUACUGAUCUCCCCAUUGCUGUUAAUGUCAAACAUUUUGAAAGCCACAGAAAAGCUUGAUUCUGGAAUACUAAGUAAUGUUACAAAAAAGAUAUACUCCUUGAAUGAUAUAAGCCCAUCAGUGUCCAGAUCAAAUAGCUUAAACAAAUCGGAUGGAGGACAUCUUAGCUCGCCAGGCCUCCUUUCCCCACUCAAAUAUCCUUCUCUAACAAGGUGGGAUUCAGAAGGAGGGAAAACAGGAACAACGGCCCGCAUCAAAUCUGCUGGUUUCAUUAGUAACUCUCCAUCUGCUGCUUGGAAAGAUGCAAAGUACUCAAAAACCUUCUCAGGAGGACUUCGCAGCCUUAUCCUCUUCUCGUAUUUAAAGAAAACCUUUCUCCUAUACGCAUCUCCAAAGAGAAACUUUGAGCAACGAAAGUUUGCCAAAUGUAGAAGUAGAACACGGAUUCCCCACCGUCGAUCCAGCCGCGGUGGCCGUUGUUGGCCAGUCGGCGAAACUCAAUAGCGAUCUCUUGAAGAAUAGAGACUGAGAAUCACUGGUAGAAUUUGAUAACCAGUAAAACAAACCUAUGGUGGAGCCCACUGCGAUCCCCGAAAACCAUCUCUUGAAGGAUCCAUGAGCGUGAUUGUCGUUUUCAUCAUUACUCUUGCGUGCGGAGGCGUAGAUCACAGACAACGAAGACAUAGAGGAUGGUCCUGUAUUGGAGUACUGGCGAGAUUGGAGCCAUUGGAUAAGGUAGAGUUGAUGGAUAGACGGUCGAGAUCUUUUAAGAGAUGACAAGGCAGGCAUGGCGAAGACUUGGAAACAGAUAAACAGAAGAUCGAAGAAGCGAGAUUUGUGAAUAUGAUUUUCCCAUUCGAUUUUCUGG